UGGAUCCAGACUUUGAUCCUGGCUCAGGAUGAACGCUAGCUACAGGCUUAACACAUGCAAGUCGAGGGGAAACGAUAGAGAAAGCUUGCUUUUUCUAGGCGUCGACCGGCGCACGGGUGAGUAACGCGUAUCCAACCUGCCCAUCGCUUGGGGAUAACCUUGCGAAAGUAAGACUAAUACCCAAUGAUAUCUCUAGAAGACAUCUGAAGGAGAUUAAAGAUUUAUCGGUGAUGGAUGGGGAUGCGUCUGAUUAGCUUGUUGGCGGGGUAACGGCCCACCAAGGCGACGAUCAGUAGGGGUUCUGAGAGGAAGGUCCCCCACAUUGGAACUGAGACACGGUCCAAACUCCUACGGGAGGCAGCAGUGAGGAAUAUUGGUCAAUGGGCGAGAGCCUGAACCAGCCAAGUAGCGUGCAGGAUGACGGCCCUAUGGGUUGUAAACUGCUUUUAUAAGGGAAUAAAGUGAGCUACGUGUAGCUUUUUGCAUGUACCUUAUGAAUAAGGACCGGCUAAUUCCGUGCCAGCAGCCGCGGUAAUACGGAAGGUCCGGGCGUUAUCCGGAUUUAUUGGGUUUAAAGGGAGCGUAGGCCGGAGAUUAAGCGUGUUGUGAAAUGUAGAUGCUCAACAUCUGCACUGCAGCGCGAACUGGUUUCCUUGAGUACGCACAAAGUGGGCGGAAUUCGUGGUGUAGCGGUGAAAUGCUUAGAUAUCACGAAGAACUCCGAUUGCGAAGGCAGCUCACUGGAGCGCAACUGACGCUGAAGCUCGAAAGUGCGGGUAUCGAACAGGAUUAGAUACCCUGGUAGUCCGCACGGUAAACGAUGGAUGCCCGCUGUUGGCCUGAAUAGGUCAGCGGCCAAGCGAAAGCAUUAAGCAUCCCACCUGGGGAGUACGCCGGCAACGGUGCAACUCAAAUGAAUUGACGGA
RNAcentral lists this ribosomal RNA (926 nucleotides) under uncultured bacterium. RNAcentral's name for it is "bacterial SSU rRNA". It matches the Rfam family "Bacterial small subunit ribosomal RNA", at positions 1 to 917 of the family's 1533-position model. The record is from RNAcentral. RNAcentral also lists the same sequence under 1 other name.